GGUUGGGUCAUUCAUCAUAAGAUUCAAAUCAAUUCAGAAGUCUCAGCGAAGUAGAUCGAAUCAUAAUUCAGUAAAUCUAGACCCGACCUAAAAUAGAAUGGGUCUAAUCUGAGAUCCUAAUCUGGCUCCAUAGAUCCUUUAAAUUGUUUCUAACUGGAUCUCAUCGGGAUCCUUUAAAAUAUUUCUAACUGGAUCUCAUCGGGUCAUGGGUUAACCUGAUCUAUUUGCAGCCUUACUUAGA
Molecule: long non-coding RNA, 241 nt
Filed under: Elaeis guineensis (African oil palm)
Lineage: Eukaryota; Viridiplantae; Streptophyta; Magnoliopsida; Arecales; Arecaceae
Description: long non-coding RNA (EGUI_LNC004878)
Source: RNAcentral